UUAACGAUUGGAUAAAUCCACUCAGACGGCAACCUUCACACAGUGUUCGUGGAUGUCUCCGGCGGGCGCGGAACCCGGGGGCGCGAGGCCCCCCGGCAGCCCCGAAGGGCGGGCCCGCCGAAGCAACAAGGGACGGUAGACACGGGUGGGAGGGUGGACCCAGAGGGCCCGACACUCGGUAAUGAUCCUUCCGCAGGUUCACCUACGGAAA
RNAcentral lists this unclassified non-coding RNA (211 nucleotides) under uncultured fungus. RNAcentral describes it as "sequence contains ITS1". The record is from RNAcentral. Lineage: Eukaryota; Fungi.